Molecule: ribosomal RNA, 464 nt
Filed under: Vreelandella stevensii
Lineage: Bacteria; Pseudomonadati; Pseudomonadota; Gammaproteobacteria; Oceanospirillales; Halomonadaceae
Description: partial 16S ribosomal RNA
Rfam family: Bacterial small subunit ribosomal RNA
Source: RNAcentral
CCUACGGGGGGCAGCAGUGGGGAAUAUUGGACAAUGGGGGCAACCCUGAUCCAGCCAUGCCGCGUGUGUGAAGAAGGCCCUCGGGUUGUAAAGCACUUUCAGUGAGGAAGAACGCCUGGUGGUUAAUACCCAUCAGGAAAGACAUCACUCACAGAAGAAGCACCGGCUACUCCGUGCCAGCAGCCGCGGUAAUACGGAGGGUGCGAGCGUUAAGCGGAAUUACUGGGCGUAAAGCGCGCGUAGGUGGCUUGAUAAGCCGGUUGUGAAAGCCCCGGGCUCAACCUGGGAACGGCAUCCGGAACUGUCAAGCUAGAGUGCAGGAGAGGAAGGUAGAAUUCCCGGUGUAGCGGUGAAAUGCGUAGAGAUCGGGAGGAAUACCAGUGGCGAAGGCGGCCUUCUGGACUGACACUGACACUGAGGUGCGAAAGCGUGGGUAGCAAACAGGGUUAGAUACCCGAGUAGUC